UACGGAGGGUGCAAGCGUUAAUCGAAAUUACUGGGCGUAAAGAGUACGUAGGUGGUUAAGUAAGUUAAUUGUGAAAUCUCGGGGCUUAACCUCGAAACUGCAGUUAAAACUGCUUUACUAGAGUGAGAUAGAGGAAAGGAGAAUUCCCGGUGUAGAGGUGAAAUUCUUUGAUAUCGGGAGGAAUACCAGCGGCGAAGGCGCCUUUCUGGAUCUAUACUGACACUGAGGUACGAAAGCGCGGGUAGCAAACAGG
RNAcentral lists this ribosomal RNA (253 nucleotides) under uncultured bacterium. RNAcentral's name for it is "partial 16S ribosomal RNA". It matches the Rfam family "Bacterial small subunit ribosomal RNA", at positions 524 to 776 of the family's 1533-position model. The record is from RNAcentral.